AGGACGAACGCUGGCGGCGUGCCUAAUACAUGCAAGUGGAACGCAAUUGAUUCUCCCGUAGCUUGCUACAUUUGAAUUGAUUGAGUCGCGAACGGGUGAGUAACGCGUAGGUAACCUACCUUAUAGCGGGGGAUAACUAUUGGAAACGAUAGCUAAUACCGCAUAAGAGUUGACAACACAUGUUGUUAAUUUAAAAGGAGCAACAGCUUCACUAUGAGAUGGACCUGCGUUGUAUUAGCUAGUUGGUAAGGUAACGGCUUACCAAGGCUUCGAUACAUAGCCGACCUGAGAGGGUGAUCGGCCACACUGGGACUGAGACACGGCCCAGACUCCUACGGGAGGCAGCAGUAGGGAAUCUUCGGCAAUGGGGGGAACCCUGACCGAGCAACGCCGCGUGAGUGAAGAAGGUUUUCGGAUCGUAAAGCUCUGUUAUAAGCGAAGAACGGGAGUAAGAGUGGAAAGUUACUCUGUGACGGUAGC
RNAcentral lists this ribosomal RNA (480 nucleotides) under Streptococcus pluranimalium. RNAcentral describes it as "bacterial SSU rRNA". It matches the Rfam family "Bacterial small subunit ribosomal RNA", at positions 26 to 479 of the family's 1533-position model. The record is from RNAcentral. Lineage: Bacteria; Bacillati; Bacillota; Bacilli; Lactobacillales; Streptococcaceae.